This is a long non-coding RNA of Phasianus colchicus (ring-necked pheasant), 1818 nucleotides long. The record is from Ensembl. NCBI's taxonomy places the organism in Eukaryota, Metazoa, Chordata, Aves, Galliformes, Phasianidae.
GAUUUUGUGAGAUUUGAAAGCGUCCGUGCCCAGCGUCUGCGUCUGAAUAACGCUUUGGGGAACUAGUUGGGACACGCUGCCUGUUAAUGAGAACCACACCAGUGCUGAAAGCUCUAGCAAUGCGUACGUGAGCUCUUGCCAAGCAGCUCUGACAUCCCCAUGAUCUGAAAUCUGAAAGCCACUGGCGUUUUUUUUUUUUUCCUUUUCUUUAUUUUUUCAUUAAAAAAUCCCACUAAAGUUGUCAAAACUGUAGAUCUGACCAAUAACAUUCAGACUUCUGAAUGGAUCCAAGAAGGUCAAAUCUUCACUAAGUUUUUCCGUAUCGAGAACAUGUUGCAGUGUCUCACGGAACCUGCAGACCCAGAUCAGCCGUCCAAAGCACCCACCUCCCCUUCUCCCACUGUGCAGCAGCACUGGGUGGUUCAGGGUGUGCAGACCCUGAACCGCAGUCCUCCUGCAGCACAGGUGGGGGUGCAAUGCACCGUGGGGUGAGUGGCAGCAGGGAGCUGCUCGCUGCUUUGCGCACAGACUGCGUUUCGGUUCAGGACUGUUUUUUGUAACGCCGGGGAAGACAAAAAAGGCUGAAGGGUGGAGCUGUGCAGUGGAGACAGGACAGGGGAUGGACGAAAAGGUGGGGGCUACGCAGAAAUGGCACGGAGCGCUGACCAGGAACAGCUACAAGUUUAGAUGAGAGUGAAAGCCAGCGGGGGAAGGGUACAGGAGUCUAACAGAGGGACAGUGCUGGUGGGUCUCCUGCAGAAUCUGGAAUAAAACACCGGAGUUUUGAAACACUUAGCAUUCUGCUAAGCAAAGGACUAUGGUAGCAGCUCAAAACAUGCCUGAGAGGGGCUCUUCUGAAAUGCCUUUGAUACCCAGUAAGAAGGCAGUGCACUGAAAUCAGCAGCUGAGGAUUCUCCGUACAGUAUCAUUUUCUUGGGAAAAAAAAAAAAAAAAAGUCUUAGAACUACAACUCAGACAAAUUAUUCUUGAGCUACUGCAUGUCUCCUUUGAAUUGCAAGGGAAAUGGCCCAAGAAGCAGCUUCCCUACUUCAGACAUCCACAUCCAAGCUGAAGAGACAAGGAGGCAGACAAUGAAAACCAAGAAGAAAAGGUUGUGGCACUCGGGAUGUGGGAUCGGAGAAAGGCUGAUGCUUCAUCCUGGAAGUCUCACUGUUUUUGUUUAAUUAUAUGGAUAUUCUCUUGAAAAUACAGUAGAAUGAAAACACAAGAAAAAAAAUGAAGAAUGUAUCUGCUGCAGCUAUAUAUACAUAUAUAGCUAUACUUCUUUUUUUUUUUUUCCUCAAAGUAAGUACUGACUCCAUAUUGAACAUAAUGUAAACUUGAAGCACAGAAGUAAUGAAGUCUUUAUUAUUAACAAAAUAGCAUUGGUUUUAAAGGCAAAACAUAGCUAAGCUAAGGAAAGACUAUACAAACAUUGUAGCACAAAAUUUGUCAUGGGCUUUUCACAGAAUCACGGAAUUGCCAGGGUUGGAAGGGACCCCAAGGAUCAUGAAUCUCCAACCCCCGUGCUGCAUGCAGGGCCACCAACCUUCCCAUUUAAUUCUAGACCAGGCUGCCCAGGGCCCCAUCCAAUCUGGCCGUGAACACUUCCAGGGACAGGGCAUCCACAACCUCUCUGGGCAGCCUGUUCCAGCACCUCAUCACUCUCUGUAAAGAACUUCCCCUCAAGAAAAAUAGUUAUGAAAGGCAUUUUAUAAUAGUAAGUUUACACCUCCAAAACAGAUGGAGGGAGCCUUCUGUGUCUCCAGAUACACUAAAUAUAAUAAAUAUCAUCUCUAGAAAAUGUAAUAGGAAGUU